AAUAACAACAAUCGCGAGUAAAGAUAGAUGUAAGUGAGAAAU
RNAcentral lists this non-coding RNA (42 nucleotides) under Trypanosoma brucei brucei. The record is from RNAcentral. Lineage: Eukaryota; Euglenozoa; Kinetoplastea; Trypanosomatida; Trypanosomatidae.